UACGUAGGGGGGCGAGCGUUGUCCGGAAUUAUUGGGCGUAAAGAGCGUGUAGGCGGUUCGGUAAGUCUGCCGUGAAAACCUGGGGCUCAACCCCGGGCGUGCGGUGGAUACUGCCGGGCUAGAGGGUGGUAGAGGCGAGUGGAAUUCCCGGUGUAGCGGUGAAAUUCGUAGAUAUCGAGAGGAACACCGGUGGCGAAGGCGGCCUUCUGGACAGUGACUGACGCUGAGACGCGAAAGCGUGGGGAGCAAACAGG
Molecule: ribosomal RNA, 254 nt
Filed under: uncultured bacterium
Lineage: Bacteria
Description: partial 16S ribosomal RNA
Rfam family: Bacterial small subunit ribosomal RNA
Source: RNAcentral